Cinara cedri is the source of this 2996-nucleotide non-coding RNA. NCBI's taxonomy places the organism in Eukaryota, Metazoa, Arthropoda, Insecta, Hemiptera, Aphididae. The record is from the annotation of a GenBank genome assembly.
CCAGUGGUUCUCAAAUGCAUAUAAAUUGAAUUGAAGACGUUAGGUAGGCAAUAAAUUUGUAAUGCGUGAUGUGAGGCGCAAAAAAAAAAAUUUUGUUUAAGUAGUAACAUGUCACAGUAACUAGCCGAAACAGUGUUUUUUUGGACCCCGAUUAUAAAUAGACGUUUAUGGAUUUGAAAAAUUGUAUUUUACCAAAAACUUAACCUGACCUAACAAAACCAUUUUUGUUAAUAGUGCCAUGGAAAUUCUAAAGAUGUUAAGUAGCAUUGAUAUUACUAAUCUAGUUGAUGAAAUAAUAAAUAAGUGGCCAUCAGAUAUUGAAUUAGAACCUCAACAAAGGGAUUUUCAAACGAUUUAUCGAUACAAGGAUUCUAGAUUCUUAUCUCGGUUUAAGUAUAUUGCUGUUCAGGUUAAAGAAUCACUGGAAAAUGUGAAUGAAACCGAAAAUAACGAAUUUUACUGCAUUGAUUUUCACAAUAAUUUAAUGGGGUCUAUUAUUCCUGUAAUACCUAUAUGGACAGGUAUGAUGCGUUUCAAAAUAUUGAAUACUACAGAAAGAGCGAGUAAUGCUCCGGUAAAAAGUUAGUUAGGAGAUUUGAAAUAAACGGUUAAAAUGUGGUCAAUUUGUGAAAUUGACUAGAUAGACAAUCUUAAGUAGAUGUAAAGAAGUACUUAUGGAUAUACCUUCAAACUAUUGUGUAAAGGGUCAAAAGCCAAAAAAAUUAAACAACAAAGAAAGAAUAAACUGAAAUAACAUGAAUAAUUAAGUUGAUUUCUUUGGACAAAGAAGAGGAAAGUGAACACUGGCAACCGAGGAAAAACAAAAAAGUUUCUAUUUUAAAGGUCACCUAAAGGCAGUAUUUAAACAAUUCAAAGAAAAACUAAAAGUGAAUAACUCGCCAACUACAGUAACUGAAGAAAUCAAUCUAAAGGUGAGGGUAAAAGAUAUCGAGUAUUCUAAUCAAAUGGAUUAUUUUAACGGCAGAGUUUAUUGUUUAUAUUAUACUGAAUGCAUGAUAAGAAGCCGAAAAAUAUAUUUUUUUUGAUACUAAUUUCAAUCCAAUAGUGUAUAUUGUAUAGAAUAAAACUGAAAAAGAUGCUUUUAGAAACCUCUGAUUUUAUGAGAGAUAUUUAUUUAUACUGUUAAAAUUCAGAUUCAGAGCAUAAAAAAAUUAAACCAAAUAAUUUGAAUUGGAUUUCAGUGGUACUUUGAAUGCUUGUGUAAGUUCUAUAUGGAGAGGUAUGUUUCAUAUUAUAAGUAAUUCUAUUUUAAAAUUAUUUAUAAUUGAAUGAUUUUAAUAUGUAUUGUUUUACUCUAUUUUAAACCUUGUUUUGUUUUUAUUUGUAAUUACAUGUUUUUUUUAAUAUGAAAGAUAAUAUAUACAAAUUAUUAAAUAAGUAGAUUAGGCCAAUGCAGUACCUCAGAGUUUUGAAACUAAAGUGGUGAGGAAAUCUGCAUGAUGUUUGAUGUAUCAUUAAUACUGAUAACAUAAUUUAAACGAGAGAAUGAGAUAAUUAUUUAGUUAGUUGGUGAAAUAAUAGGAAGAAAACUGAAAAGUAUAAUUAUAUCUGAUCACAAAUGUAUUAUUAUCUACAAAAAUAAAUAAUAAAAUUAGGUAAAAAGACAUUAGUAUUUAUUAUUAUAUUGUAAAAGUAAAAAGUGAAAUUUGAAUUUUUCAGAUGACAAUCAAGCAAUAAUUUUAUUAACCUAUGCAAAUUAUUCAUACAAACUAUAGAAGUAUUUAAGAUAAAAAUUUGAACUGGUAUUCCUAAAACAAAUAAAUAAAUAAAUGUAUAAUAGGUAGGUAUUUAUAUUUUACAUACAUAGUUUGAAUUAAGAACAAACAACAAUAAGUAAUAUUGAUUUACUUUUUGAUAAAUUAGUGAAAUGGUGCUGGAAAGUGUAACAAGUUCAAUUAUUUUUGUAAUGAUUUUCAAUACCUAUUAUAUGUUGUAUUUAAAUGUAGGUAUCUUAUUAUAGAAUUCAUUUUUUGUUUAGGUAAAAACCUAUCUCUCUGUUAAAUAACUAAAAUAAAUAAAUAAAUAAAAUACAUACAACAUAUAUACAUAAACAUUGGUGUAGAAGUCCCUAUAAAUCAUUAAUUUUAAUCAUUUUAGAAUAAUGAAGAAUAAUUUAUAGUGGUUUAAUAAGUAGGUAUUAUAUUUGUAUAGGUAUUUAUUUAUUUAUUUGAUCUUCAAAACAUUUUGUAUAAGUAUUACAAUUGUAUAAACAUAUUCAAUAUACUAAUAUACUUGUUGAUACCAAAUCUCUUUAAUUUAUGCUUGGUGGUGCUAGGUGAAAUUUGGGUUUUAUAAAAAAUAUCCAAUUUAAUGGAUAAAUUAUGAUGAUAAUAUAUAAAAAUUGUACAUAUUUAACAUAAUGAUUGGAUAAACUCUGGAUACAAUGAUAUUUGAAUUAUUUGUCCCCACAAACUUAAAUCCUUUGUCAUUUGCUAUUUUUUUUACCAAAUAGAACUCUUUUAAAUUUUGUUAAGUGGUCAUUGUAUAUCAUUAUAAGUAUAUAUAAUUUGUGUAAAACCAUUAAUAAUAUUAUAAAUUGUUAAAUAUAAUAAUUGUUGAAAAAAAUAUAUAUUGUUUUGUUAUAGGUGGUUUAAAAAUUAAAUUUAUAGAAAAAAACAGUCAAACAUUUGGAAAGUAUUGCUGGUACUUGGCUAGCUAAAGUCAAAGAAAAAAUGAAAUAAGUACAACUUGUAAUUUAUAAUUAUUAUGUGUAAUAUAUUAUUACAUAUAAUUACAUUAAUUACAAACAUUUUUUUAAUUUUAAUAUUAAUGUUGAAUGAAAAGGACAGAUUUUUCUUUUUAUUAUAAAGAAUAUUUUAUAUUAUAUUUAUAAGUUUUAUUACAUUAAUUAGAACAAUGAACACAUUUGGUUUAGAUGGUUGUCAAAUAGUUUCAGUUAUUGAGCCUUCUCAAAAGUGAUACAAAUGAAAAAUAAAAUAUUAUUAAUCCUGUUUUAGUUAAUCAUAAACAAAUUG